AUAAACAAAGUGAUCGAAAGAGUAGCAAUUUAAUUUUGUUCAGAGAGAUGUUGGUCGGUGUGAAACAUUCUAAAUUAAUGGUGAAAAUGGUUCGUGAUUGGCAUUGAUGAGUGGCAAGACUAUAAAUCAAUGACGGAGUCGUCAACGUUAACUGACUAGGUGUAUUGAUAAGGCCUCAUUUCGCUGCGUUAAUACAUAGUAAGGUCGAGUUAGGUGACUGACUCGAUGAAAUUUAGAAUGGUAACACGGUCUAUUAGCCGCUUCUAUA
Molecule: non-coding RNA, 268 nt
Filed under: Weissella viridescens
Lineage: Bacteria; Bacillati; Bacillota; Bacilli; Lactobacillales; Lactobacillaceae
Description: T-box sequence
Rfam family: T-box leader
About the family: Uncharged tRNA acts as the effector for transcription antitermination of genes in the T-box leader family. T-boxes are found upstream of many aminoacyl-tRNA synthetase genes and some amino acid biosynthetic genes usually in Gram-positive bacteria.
Source: RNAcentral